GCAGACACAUUCCAGCCAAUCAGCAGCAGACCCUCCCUCCCAGAUCCUCCCACCUCCUGGACAGCAUCCAUUGUGAAGCUGCAUUCUUAGUGAGCUGUCCAGGAGGUGGGAGGGUCUGGGAGGGAGGGUCUGCUGCUGAUUGGCUGGAAUGUGUCUG
Pelobates cultripes (western spadefoot toad) is the source of this 157-nucleotide non-coding RNA. NCBI's taxonomy places the organism in Eukaryota, Metazoa, Chordata, Amphibia, Anura, Pelobatidae. The record is from the annotation of a GenBank genome assembly.